UACCGAAUGCCACGCUGGUAUGUGCCA
RNAcentral lists this small RNA (27 nucleotides) under Bombyx mori (domestic silkworm). RNAcentral's name for it is "ovarian small RNA-20702". Lineage: Eukaryota; Metazoa; Arthropoda; Insecta; Lepidoptera; Bombycidae. The record is from RNAcentral.